This 910-nucleotide long non-coding RNA is filed under the name Apteryx owenii (little spotted kiwi). RNAcentral describes it as "lncRNA (ENSAOWG00000005766.1)". The record is from RNAcentral. Lineage: Eukaryota; Metazoa; Chordata; Aves; Apterygiformes; Apterygidae.
GUUCUAUCUACAGGUAGAGAUGAAAGAAUACAGGCAAUAGCUACUCAAAUCAAUACAUCAAGAAACAGUGCUGCACAACUUAACCUGUCUCAACAUCACCUUAUACCCAACACCUGGAGAGGAUCAUACAAGGAGAACUCAGAGAAAUCCGGCCAACAGGUGUAAUUUGUUGCCUGUUGGAGACGGUAGCUAGUAGUACCUGAGUCUUUAUUUGAUGAUGAUGAGCUCAACAACCUACCACAAGUGGCUGGAAUUACUUUAACAUCAUGAGGAUCAAGCUUGCUGGAGAAGUGUGCCAGGUGAUCAGCUGCAGGGCAACAUUUGGAUUUUCCUUACUGGAACCAUAAUGAAUUUCUCCAAGGUGCCAGAACUGCAGUUCCCAUAAGAGAUGGUGCCGGCGGCCGCCAUGAGCAGCGGGGCGCGGGCCCGCGGCAGGAGGAGGGCAGCCCGCCCCAGCCCGCCUUCCCCCGCCAGCUCCGAGGGCGAGGAGCCCCUCAGUUCUUCCUCGUGCUCCCAGCUCUCCCCUGUUUCCCGGCACAGCUCCCGCAGCUGCGAGGAGGAGGAGGAAGAGGGGGAUGUGGCCUCCCAGAGCCAAAAAGGCAAUAGAAAGGCUGAAGACUCUGAAAUAAUAGGGGGAAGAAAUCGUUCACCUUUGAAAGAUAAUCUUUCACCAUGGGAAGAAUGGUUCAUUUGCAAAGAGAAGGAACUACGUGCCCGCUUGCAAGUUAGAGCUCUGGAGGAAAUUAAUCUACAGCUUGAGAAAAUGAAAGAAAAGCAAGAAUCUGAAAGAAGGAGAAGGAUAGCUGAAGAGAAGCACAAGGAAUGGGUGCAAAAAAAAAGAGAAGAGGUAAAUAUUGCUUUAGUUGUAAAUAUUAUAGCACAUGCUAUGCUUUAGUAAACCUAUGUAAAA